RNAcentral lists this transfer RNA (67 nucleotides) under Loxoblemmus doenitzi. Its description in RNAcentral is "tRNA-Asp". The record is from RNAcentral. Lineage: Eukaryota; Metazoa; Arthropoda; Insecta; Orthoptera; Gryllidae.
AAGAAAUUAGUUAAAGGAUAACAUUAAUAUGUCAUAUUAAAAUUAUUAUAUUAAAUAAUAUUUCUUA